The sequence is a small nucleolar RNA, 231 nucleotides long. Its record names the gene U3. It matches the Rfam family "Small nucleolar RNA U3". Rfam says of the family: Small nucleolar RNAs (snoRNAs) are involved in the processing and modification of rRNA in the nucleolus. There are two main classes of snoRNAs: the box C/D class, and the box H/ACA class. The record is from Ensembl.
AAGACUGUGCUUUCAGGAAUCAUCUGUACAGUUCAUUGCUAGAGAAUUUUUCUUGAGUGGGUAUUGUACUCUUAUUGUACCCAUAAGCCAUGAGGGAGAGGUACAGUGUUCCUUACUGAGUGUGAAGCCAAUUCUUGGCAGUGUGUUUUUACUUUGUAACUGCCAUUGGUUGUUGAUGAUCUAUUUUCUAAUUAUCUGGGAGAGUGAAAAAGAAAAGGUUAUGUGAGUGGC